GUUUAUAAAUUACCUAUCAAAUCGUACACAAUUUGUAAUGGUGGAUGGUUGUAAAUCUGAGUCCAUAGAGGUGUGCUCAGGUGUUCCGCAAGGUUCUAUUUUGGGCCCACUGUUGUUCAUUUUGUAUAUCAACAACAUUGGGGAUCUUAUUGAAACAGCGGAUGUUCAUUUUUAUGCAGAUGAUACUGUUCUUUAUUCA
Molecule: non-coding RNA, 199 nt
Organism: Salmo salar (Atlantic salmon)
Lineage: Eukaryota; Metazoa; Chordata; Actinopteri; Salmoniformes; Salmonidae
Source: RefSeq, a predicted model, not a curated record